GAUGAAGAACGCAGCGAAAUGCGAUACUUGGUGUGAAUUGCAGAAUCCCGUGAACCAUCGAGUCUUUGAACGCAAGUUGCGCCCGAAGCCACUAGGCCGAGGGCACGCCUGCCUGGGCGUCACACGCCGUCGCCCCCCCAUCUACUCCUUCGGGAUUGCGGGGGGGCGGAUGAUGGCCUCCCGUGCGCCUAGCCGCGCGGUUGGCAUAAAUACCAAGUCCUCGGCGACGCACGCCACGACAAUCGGUGGUUGCGAAACCUCGGUUGCCCGUCGUGUGCGUUCGUCGCGCAUCGAGGGCUCGAAAAAAUGCUCGGCUCCGGCUGGGCUUUCAACGCGACCCCAGGUCAGGCGGGGUUACCCGCUGAAUUUAAGCAUAUCAAUAAGCGGAGGA
RNAcentral lists this unclassified non-coding RNA (391 nucleotides) under soil metagenome. Its description in RNAcentral is "partial contains 5.8S ribosomal RNA, internal transcribed spacer 2, and large subunit ribosomal RNA". The stretch from base 1 to 122 matches the Rfam family "5.8S ribosomal RNA", at positions 35 to 154 of the family's 154-position model. The record is from RNAcentral.